RNAcentral lists this ribosomal RNA (386 nucleotides) under uncultured bacterium. RNAcentral's name for it is "bacterial SSU rRNA". It matches the Rfam family "Bacterial small subunit ribosomal RNA", at positions 335 to 711 of the family's 1533-position model. The record is from RNAcentral.
ACUCCUACGGGAGGCAGCAGUGGGGAAUAUUGCACAAUGGGCGCAAGCCUGAUGCAGCCAUGCCGCGUGUGUGAAGAAGGCCUUCGGGUUGUAAAGCACUUUCAGUCGUGAGGAAGGUAGUGUAGUUAAUAGCUUGCUGNAUUUUGACGUUAGCGACAGAAGAAGCACCGGCUAACUCCGUGCCAGCAGCCGCGGUAAUACGGAGGGUGCGAGCGUUAAUCGGAAUUACUGGGCGUAAAGCGCAUGCAGGUGGUUUGUUAAGUCAGAUGUGAAAGCCCGGGGCUCAACCUCGGAAUUGCAUUUGAAACUGGCAGGCUAGAGUCUGUAGAGGGGGGGUAGAAUUUCAGGUGUAGCGGUGAAAUGCGUAGAGAUCUGAAGGAAUACCG